GCUUGGCCUGGGCCCCCAGUGGGGGGCGACUACUCUCAGCUUCACCCGUGGAUGCUGCUAUCCGGGUAUGGGAUGUCUCAACAGAGACCUGUGUCCCCCUUCCCUGGUUUCGAGGAGGUGGGGUGACCAACCUGCUCUGGUCCCCAGAUGGCAGCAAAAUCCUGGCUACCACUCCUUCAGCUGUCUUUCGAGUCUGGGAGGCCCAGAUGUGGACUUGUGAGAGGUGGCCUACUCUAUCAGGGCGCUGUCAGACUGGCUGCUGGAGCCCAGAUGGCAGCCGACUGCUGUUCACUGUAUUGGGAGAGCCACUGAUUUACUCCCUGUCUUUUCCAGAACGUUGUGGUGAGGGAAAGGGGCAUGUUGGAGGUGCAAAGUCAGCAACAAUUGUGGCAGAUCUGUCUGAGACAACAAUACAGACACCAGAUGGUGAGGAGAGGCUUGGGGGAGAGGCUCACUCCAUGGUCUGGGACCCCAGUGGGGAACGUCUGGCUGUGCUUAUGAAAGGAAACCCAAGGGUACAGGAUGGUAAACCAGUCAUCCUCCUUUUUCGCACUCGAAACAGUCCUGUGUUUGAGCUCCUUCCCUGGUAAGUGCCAUGUGGGCCCUCAGGCCUGGACUUCUCACCAGCCUUCCUGCACAAAACCCACAUCCCACUACAUUCAGCUCCCUUCUCACCUCCGGUUGCCUGCUCACCUUUUCUUCUAGUGGCGUUAUCCAGGGGGAGCCAGGAGUCCAGCCCCAGCUCAUCACUUUCCAUCCUUCCUUCAACAAAGGGGCCCUGCUCAGUGUGGUGAGUGCGUCAGGCUGCUGGGGCUUCCAGGAGUUGGAUGGAGAAGCUGAGGGCCUUGGCUGCUGUAUGGCUCUGCCAGGUGGCCCUUCUUUGGGCCCAGACUCUGA
Molecule: small RNA, 897 nt
Filed under: Pongo abelii (Sumatran orangutan)
Lineage: Eukaryota; Metazoa; Chordata; Mammalia; Primates; Hominidae
Description: retained intron
Source: RNAcentral